RNAcentral lists this unclassified non-coding RNA (330 nucleotides) under soil metagenome. RNAcentral describes it as "partial contains 5.8S ribosomal RNA, internal transcribed spacer 2, and large subunit ribosomal RNA". The stretch from base 1 to 120 matches the Rfam family "5.8S ribosomal RNA", at positions 35 to 154 of the family's 154-position model. The record is from RNAcentral.
GAUGAAGAACGUAGCGAAAUGCGAUAAGUAAUGUGAAUUGCAGAAUUCAGUGAAUCAUCGAAUCUUUGAACGCACAUUGCGCCCCCUGGUAUUCCGGGGGGCAUGCCUGUUCGAGCGUCAUUUCACCACUCAAGCCUCGCUUGGUAUUGGGCAACGCGGUCCGCCGCGUGCCUCAAAUCUACCGGCUGGGUCUUCUGUCCCCUAAGCGUUGUGGAAACUUUCGCUAAAGGGUGUUCGGGAGGCUACGCCGUAAAACAACCCCAUUUCUAAGGUUGACCUCGGAUCAGGUAGGGAUACCCGCUGAACUUAAGCAUAUCAAUAAGCGGAGGA